GGAGGAUCCGAGCGUUAUCCGGAUUUAUUGGGUUUAAAGGGAGCGUAGAUGGAUGUUUAAGUCAGUUGUGAAAGUUUGCGGCUCAACCGUAAAAUUGCAGUUGAUACUGGAUGUCUUGAGUGCAGUUGAGGCAGGCGGAAUUCGUGGUGUGGCGGUGAAAUGCUUAGAUAUCACGAAGAACUCCGAUUGCGAAGGCAGCCUGCUAAGCUGCAACUGACAUUGAGGCUCGAAAGUGUGGGUAUCAAACAGGAUUAGAUACCCUGGUAGUCCACACGGUAAACGAUGAAUACUCGUUGUUUGCGAUAUACGGCAAGCGGCCAAGCGAAAGCGUUAAGUAUUCCACCUGGGGAGU
RNAcentral lists this ribosomal RNA (352 nucleotides) under uncultured bacterium. RNAcentral's name for it is "bacterial SSU rRNA". It matches the Rfam family "Bacterial small subunit ribosomal RNA", at positions 527 to 881 of the family's 1533-position model. The record is from RNAcentral.